GAACUACUGAGGAGUCCCACGAUAGAACGAAACGGUCGUCCAGUGC
RNAcentral lists this non-coding RNA (46 nucleotides) under Schistosoma margrebowiei. The record is from RNAcentral. Lineage: Eukaryota; Metazoa; Platyhelminthes; Trematoda; Strigeidida; Schistosomatidae.